UAGAGAGGAAAAUGGUCCUGCCGUGCAACAGAAACAAAAAAACUUACCCUUGCUGGUGAGACUGAAGCUUCUGAGCCUGUAACUGUCCUCGUCUUCACCUUCUUCCCUCUGAAUCUGAUUCGAGGGAUCAGGAACAUCCAAAAAUGCAUUACUCUUUCUAUGAUGACUAUGAUGCAUACUUUGCCCUCUUCGACUUCCUCUUCUUCUGAGGCCAGGGCUGAUAUCAUUGUCAGUCAGCCUGGGCUCGCUGCUGCAAUGAGCAGAUUUAACUGUGCCUUCAUGAUGAUGAUGGUGAUGAUGGUGUGCAGCUGAAACAAAUUAAAACAACCAAUAUAUGAUUGACGGUUCACUCUCGAAUCGACUUGAAUUUUCUAUUAACAGUUUAUCAUAAAUCAUGAAGACAUAUACAUUUGGCGUCGUAUUCCUUUAUUUCAUUAAAUAUCCUACUUUUUCAG
Molecule: unclassified non-coding RNA, 455 nt
Filed under: Bombus terrestris (buff-tailed bumblebee)
Lineage: Eukaryota; Metazoa; Arthropoda; Insecta; Hymenoptera; Apidae
Description: misc RNA ENSBTSG00005037312.1
Source: RNAcentral